GACAGAGGGUGCAAACGUUGUUCGGAAUGACUGGGCGUAAAGCGCGUGUAGGCGGCUCGGCAAGUCGGAUGUGAAAGCCCUGGGCUCAACCCAGGAAGUGCACUCGAAACUGCCGAGCUGGAGUCCCGGAGAGGAAGGCGGAAUUCUCGGUGUAGAGGUGAAAUUCGUAGAUAUCGAGAGGAACACCGGUGGCGAAGGCGGCCUUCUGGACGGCGACUGACGCUGAGACGCGAAAGCGUGGGGAGCAAACAGG
This 253-nucleotide ribosomal RNA is filed under the name uncultured bacterium. Its description in RNAcentral is "partial 16S ribosomal RNA". It matches the Rfam family "Bacterial small subunit ribosomal RNA", at positions 524 to 776 of the family's 1533-position model. The record is from RNAcentral. RNAcentral also lists the same sequence under 1 other name.